This 271-nucleotide long non-coding RNA is filed under the name Rosa chinensis. Its description in RNAcentral is "sRNA RchiOBHm_Chr3g0457071". Lineage: Eukaryota; Viridiplantae; Streptophyta; Magnoliopsida; Rosales; Rosaceae. The record is from RNAcentral.
UGUUUAGUUAUCGAAAGGUUCUUGUGAAGAUUUAAAUUAAGUGAGGUCCUUGAACGAUUGAGAAAUCGAAUUAAAAAUCAGUUGAAUAGUUUGAAUUAAAGGGCUUUGAGGGCUUUGAGAUUUUAAGGAAUUAUAGAAUUUAAUCCCAAGUUUAAGUGAGGGAGUUUUAUGACAAUUUGUGAUUAACGGAUGCUUAUUCCGAGGGGAAUGAGACGUACUGAGCCCUCGAGCGAGGAGGACACAGACAGGCAGCAGGGUUAGCUGCGGGAUU